This 697-nucleotide ribosomal RNA is filed under the name uncultured cyanobacterium. RNAcentral's name for it is "bacterial SSU rRNA". It matches the Rfam family "Bacterial small subunit ribosomal RNA", at positions 60 to 802 of the family's 1533-position model. The record is from RNAcentral. Lineage: Bacteria; Bacillati; Cyanobacteriota.
AGUCGAACGGGCUCUUCGGAGCUAGUGGCGGACGGGUGAGUAACGCGUGAGAAUCUGGCUUCAGGUUCGGGACAACAGUUGGAAACGACUGCUAAUACCGGAUGUGCCUUAGGGUGAAAGAUUUAUCACCUGAAGAUGAGCUCGCGUCUGAUUAGCUAGUUGGUGUGGUAAGAGCGCACCAAGGCACCGAUCAGUAGCUGGUCUGAGAGGAUGACCAGCCACACUGGGACUGAGACACGGCCCAGACUCCUACGGGAGGCAGCAGUGGGGAAUUUUCCGCAAUGGGCGAAAGCCUGACGGAGCAAUACCGCGUGAGGGAGGAAGGCUCUUGGGUUGUAAACCUCUUUUCUCAGGGAAGAAGUCCUGACGGUACCUGAGGAAUCAGCAUCGGCUAACUCCGUGCCAGCAGCCGCGGUAAUACGGAGGAUGCAAGCGUUAUCCGGAAUGAUUGGGCGUAAAGCGUCCGCAGGUGGCAAUGUAAGUCUGCUGUCAAAGCGUCUGGCUUAACCAGAUAAAGGCAGUGGAAACUACAUAGCUAGAGUAAGGUAGGGGUAGAGGGAAUUCCUGGUGUAGCGGUGAAAUGCGUAGAGAUCAGGAAGAACACCGGUGGCGAAAGCGCUCUGCUGGACCUUAACUGACACUGAGGGACGAAAGCUAGGGGAGCGAAUGGGAUUAGAUACCCCAGUAGUCCUAGCCG